Cebus imitator (Panamanian white-faced capuchin) is the source of this 150-nucleotide long non-coding RNA. RefSeq lists it as uncharacterized. The record is from RefSeq and is a predicted model, not a curated record. NCBI's taxonomy places the organism in Eukaryota, Metazoa, Chordata, Mammalia, Primates, Cebidae. The transcript has 3 exons.
UUUAAAAGUGGUCUGUCAGGCUGGGUGUGGUAGCUCACACCUGUAAUUUUAGCACUUUGGGAGGCAGAGACAGGAUCACUACUUGAAUCCAGGAGUUUGAGACCAGCCUGGGUAACAUGGUGAAAUUCCAUCUCUACCAAAAAAAAAAAA